RNAcentral lists this ribosomal RNA (507 nucleotides) under uncultured Clostridiaceae bacterium. Its description in RNAcentral is "partial 16S ribosomal RNA". The record is from RNAcentral. Lineage: Bacteria; Bacillati; Bacillota; Clostridia; Eubacteriales; Clostridiaceae.
CACGUAGUUAGCCGUGGCUUCCUCCUCAGGUACCGUCAUUAUCGUCCCUGAAGACAGAGCUUUACAACCCGAAGGCCGUCAUCACUCACGCGGCGUUGCUGCAUCAGGGUUUCCCCCGACUUGUGCAAUAUUCCCCACCUGCUGCCUCCCGUAGGAGUCUGGGCCGUGUCUCAGUCCCAAUGUGGCCGAUCACCCUCUCAGGUCGGCUACGCAUCGUCGCCUUGGUGAGCCGUUACCUCACCAACUAGCUAAUGCGCCGCGGGCCCAUCUCAUAGCGGAUUACUCCUUUAAUUGCUACUUCAUGCGAAGCUACAAUCUUAUGCGGUAUUAAUCUCCCUUUCGGAAGGCUAUUCCCCCUCUAUGAGGUAGGUUGCCCACGUGUUACUCACCCGUUCGCCGCUUAGCUUUGUUCCGAAGAACUCCACUCGCUCGACUUUGCAUGUGUUAGGCACGCCGCCAGCGUUCGUCCUCGUAGCCUACGGAGACUAAACUACCUUCGUACGACGU